GAUGAAGAACGUAGCGAAAUGCGAUAAGUAAUGUGAAUUGCAGAAUUCAGUGAAUCAUCGAAUCUUUGAACGCACAUUGCGCCCCUUGGUAUUCCGAGGGGCAUGCCUGUUCGAGCGUGAUUAUAACCCCUCAAGCUCAGCUUGGUGUUGGGGCCUGCUGCACUGGCAGCCCUUAAAAUCAGUGGCGGCGCCAUCUGGCUCUAAGCGUAGUAAUUCUUCUCGCUAUGGAGUCCUGGUGGAUGCUUGCCAUCAACCCCCAAUUUUUCUAUGGUUGACCUCGGAUCAGGUAGGGAUACCCGCUGAACUUAAGCAUAUCAAUAAGCGGAGGA
This 329-nucleotide unclassified non-coding RNA is filed under the name soil metagenome. RNAcentral's name for it is "partial contains 5.8S ribosomal RNA, internal transcribed spacer 2, and large subunit ribosomal RNA". The stretch from base 1 to 120 matches the Rfam family "5.8S ribosomal RNA", at positions 35 to 154 of the family's 154-position model. The record is from RNAcentral.